AUGCUUAAACUCAAAAUCUUAGGCCUGGCCGCGAUUGAUCAAGCACGGAAGCGCCAGGCAUCUAGGAUUACUUGGCUGCGGGCUGGAGACGCGCCAACCACCUUCUUCCAAGCGAAGAUCAAUGCCAGGAGACGGAAAGCAUUCAUCCACAUGCUCCAUGGCCCAUCAGGCGUAGUUACCAGGCAGGAGGACAAGGAAACCUUGAUCUACGACCACUUCUCCUCCUUGCUGGGUACGGCAGCGCACCGUGGCACAUCCAUUGGCUGGCGCUCACUAGACAUGCCCAGACUGCAGGGUGGAGGG
This 303-nucleotide ribosomal RNA is filed under the name Triticum aestivum (bread wheat). Its description in RNAcentral is "partial small subunit ribosomal RNA". Lineage: Eukaryota; Viridiplantae; Streptophyta; Magnoliopsida; Poales; Poaceae. The record is from RNAcentral.